This 254-nucleotide ribosomal RNA is filed under the name uncultured bacterium. RNAcentral's name for it is "partial 16S ribosomal RNA". It matches the Rfam family "Bacterial small subunit ribosomal RNA", at positions 524 to 776 of the family's 1533-position model. The record is from RNAcentral.
UAUGGGGGGAGCAAGCGUUGUUCGGAUUUACUGGGCGUAAAGGGCGCGUAGGCGGUCGUGACAAGUCACUUGUGAAAUCUCCGGGCUUAACUCGGAACGGUCAAGUGAUACUGUCGGACUAGAGUACAGAAGGGGCAACUGGAAUUCUCGGUGUAGCGGUGAAAUGCGUAGAUAUCGAGAGGAACACCUGCGGCGAAGGCGGGUUGCUGGGCUGAUACUGACGCUGAGGCGCGAAAGCCAGGGGAGCGAACGGG